UUAUUGACGCUGAGGCACGAAAGCGUGGGGAGCAAACRGGAUUAGAUACCCUGGUAGUCCACGCCGUAAACGAUGUCAACUGAGAGUCUGUGGAUUUAAUCCGUGGGUUCCGAAGCUAACGCGAUAAGUUGACCGCCUGGGGAGUACGGCCGCAAGGUUAAAACUCAAAUGAAUUGACGGGGGCCCGCACAAGCGGUGGAGCAUGUGGUUUAAUUCGAUGCAACGCGAAGAACCUUACCUACUCUUGACAUCCAGAGAAGCCAGUAGAGAUACAGGUGUGCCUUCGGGAGCUCUGAGACGGGUGCUGCAUGGCUGUCGUCAGCUCGUGUUGUGAAAUGUUGGGUUAAGUCCCGCAACGAGCGCAUCCCCUUUCCUUAGUUGCCAGCGAUUCGGUCGGGAACUCUAAGGAGACUGCCGGUGAUAAACCGGAGGAAGGUGGGGACGACGUCAAGUCAUCAUGGCCCUUACGAGUAGGGCUACACACGUGCUACAAUGGCGGAUACAGAGGGUUGCGAAGCCGCGAGGUGAAGCUAAUCUCACAAAGUCCGUCGUAGUCCGGAUCGGAGUCUGCAACUCGACUCCGUGAAGUCGGAAUCGCUAGUAAUCGUAGAUCAGAAUGCUACGGUGAAUACGUUCCCGGGCCUUGUACACACCGCCCGUCACACCAUGGGAG
RNAcentral lists this ribosomal RNA (673 nucleotides) under uncultured bacterium. Its description in RNAcentral is "bacterial SSU rRNA". It matches the Rfam family "Bacterial small subunit ribosomal RNA", at positions 737 to 1410 of the family's 1533-position model. The record is from RNAcentral.